RNAcentral lists this ribosomal RNA (292 nucleotides) under uncultured bacterium. RNAcentral describes it as "partial 16S ribosomal RNA". It matches the Rfam family "Bacterial small subunit ribosomal RNA", at positions 505 to 796 of the family's 1533-position model. The record is from RNAcentral.
GUGUCAGCCGCCGCGGUAAGACAGAGGGUGCAAACGUUGUUCGGAAUUACUGGGCGUAAAGCGCGUGUAGGCGGCAGGGCAUGUCGGAUGUGAAAUCCCGUGGCUCAACCACGGAAGUGCACCCGAAACUGCCCAGCUCGAGUCUCGGAGAGGAAGGCGGAAUGCUUGGUGUAGAGGUGAAAUUCGUAGAUAUCAAGCGGAACACCGGUGGCGAAGGCGGCCUUCUGGACGAUGACUGACGCUGAGACGCGAAAGCGUGGGGAGCAAACAGGAUUAGAAACCCCCGUAGUCC